UGGAAUUUGUCGCCUUCAUGGAGGAGAACAGAACAUGAUUUACGAUCUCAAAAACAAUACUGGAUAUGUUGACCAUGGAUGAAAGGGUAAAAUCUUUCCUCUUGGAAAGAGUCCCAGCAGAGGUACAGUACUUAAAAAAAAAAAAAACUCGCGUCAGCUGUCCUGAAUAAUUUCUUGGUCUUGGCACCAGGUGGCCAAAUCCUAUCUCUCUUUAUUUGCCGAAAAGAAGAAGCGGAAUUCCCAUAUUUUACUGUUCUGCAUUUUAGUGUCCAAUGUUGUUCUCGUUGUCAGUUUGUGGUGUGUCGGCCGCUUCGAACGUCUUGUUUUCUUUUCUGUUUUCAGUGAAGUGUGAAGUUGGAGAAAACUGUGUUAAAGUUGCUGCCUUCACUAAUUAACCUUGCUUCUUUCAGCACUGAAAAUUUUUUUUUCAAGAAACCUGGUUUGAGUGAUUAUUGGACGAUAUCGAGAUAACAUUUCAGAACUGCAGACUGCAUAUAGAGAUGAAAUUGCAAUGUGAAGCAAAUGUGGACAUUGCUGGCCUCCAUGACCAGACUAGCAGGAAAAGUGCCAACACCCCCGUAAGAUAUUUUGAAGAUCUAAAUUGUGUAGCAUUAUUGAACUAAAGUCUUUCAGUUGAGGUUUGCCCCUAAAUUGGGAUUCAUUGUUUGGCGUGCCAGAUGUGUGAGAAUCUAUGCGGGACCUUGAGGCUUCAGGUGGACUGCAGAUUAUCGAUCGCACUUCACCUCCUACUAUCCACGGUAUUUCCCUAAGACACCGCUAUGACUAUGGCGGGUGUCACGCCGACGACGGCUCACAACAACAGCCCACAACAACGGCCCACAACAACGGCGAUGGCAGAGGAGGCAACAAUCACAGCAAUGACACGAUCAUGGAGAAAUCUAAGAGCCUGGACGAUGGCAUGACCGGCACCGCUAACAAUGCCAACAAAGCGUUGGCGAAGCUUGGCCAGCCAUUUGGCGAAGCUGUCAAAGACGUUUCGAAUGCCAUUACUGGACUUGUCGAGGCUGCUCUAACAAGCCACGUACCUAGUCGGCGUCUCUGAUCCGUCAAGCGUAGCCGGAGGAUCUGGUUUGGUCGAUCAAACAGCCUUUGCCAGAGCUUCACAGGUAACGAUCCUUGAAUAUUUUCCAUGACAAUCAGUGCUUCCACUUCUUGUUUCUGGGAUACGCUGUGGUGUUGCCAGAAAACCUUAUUUAAAGUUUUUUUUAGGGAAAA
Daphnia pulicaria is the source of this 1236-nucleotide RNA transcript. RefSeq lists it as uncharacterized. Lineage: Eukaryota; Metazoa; Arthropoda; Branchiopoda; Diplostraca; Daphniidae. The transcript has 5 exons. The record is from RefSeq and is a predicted model, not a curated record.